UCUCCAUGACACCUUGGGACCUGCCUCUUGUGGCAGCCUCCCUUCCUAGGCAUGGAAGAGCAUCUGCUUGUUGAUGGCAAAGCUGCCACCAUUUCAUUGGUAGCAGAUUCUGACUUGUGCAAGCGACAAGG
RNAcentral lists this small nucleolar RNA (131 nucleotides) under Ornithorhynchus anatinus (platypus). RNAcentral describes it as "H/ACA-box snoRNA bOa2151i". It matches the Rfam family "Small nucleolar RNA SNORA24". Rfam says of the family: ACA24 is a member of the H/ACA class of snoRNA that guide the sites of modification of uridines to pseudouridines. The record is from RNAcentral. Lineage: Eukaryota; Metazoa; Chordata; Mammalia; Monotremata; Ornithorhynchidae.